This 997-nucleotide long non-coding RNA is filed under the name Carica papaya (papaya). RNAcentral describes it as "long non-coding RNA (CPAP_LNC013450)". The record is from RNAcentral. Lineage: Eukaryota; Viridiplantae; Streptophyta; Magnoliopsida; Brassicales; Caricaceae.
AAGGGAAAGCCCAAAAAAAUUGCAUAACAUUGAUAAGAAAAUCACAGGAUUUAUGUGGCAACAAGACCAAAUUACAAUGGUUGAAACCACAAUUUGUCCUGAACUUUAUAUUUAACCUAACAUUGGUAAUAAAAGAAAAAAAUGAUUAAUAGCAACGAUGCUCAAACCAAAGCUAAAUAUCAUUCUUUAUCUAGUUUACUUUCCAAUAACACAAAAUGGAAUGAGAGGAAAGCAAAUACUAAACCAAGGGCCUUGCGUUAAGCAGAUUUCCUUUCACUCUCUACAUGUUCAUUAGUUUCACUGAAAGCUUCCAUAAAUUAAUCAGUGUCAAGGACAAAAACUUUCUCACGAGUUAUGACCCGGUAAGCUAAAUUCAUGAUAGUAAAAGGAGACCCACAAGAAUGGAAGACUAAGGAGGGAGGACCAGACCGGGGACUCUGGGGCGCUCGAGGAGGACUUCAUCAGUGGAUACCAUGGUCAGAUUACUACCUACGUCCUCCCGGACAGCGUCACCGAACUUGGGCCAGGACCGGCGUUCAACGGCGCUCUUUCCGAGGCGAGCCUGACGCGCUUGCGGGUGCGGGUGGUGGUGAUGACCUUAACCUGUUACCAUCUUCGUUGAACCUGUAUGUUACCACCUUUUCAUGCCGUUCUCAUCUGGACCUAUCUCCUGCUUUGGUUGGCAGCAGAUAGUCUAGGUCUUCUGUGUCGUCCUCCUCCAGCUUCUCCCUCUGCAGGGUCGCCGCCGGGGCCAUGCUUUCUGCCAACAACGGUUCCGAUUGACAGAUUGAUAGCGAGUGGCACAGGCGAGUUGGGUUUGGGUUUCGCGACUCCGGGCGUUCCAUCGAAUACAGGAGGAAGAUAGAGGAAACGGCGUCGUAUAAUCGGCUCUAAUUGUCAUCAGCGCCACAUUACCUUGCUUUUGCUGGACAUUUUUCCACCGAAUGAAGCGUCGUCGUAUUUGGUUCCUUUGGGUUGUCAUGGAAAAGUGGUUUUU